RNAcentral lists this long non-coding RNA (555 nucleotides) under Rattus norvegicus (Norway rat). Its description in RNAcentral is "long non-coding RNA NONRATT034025". The record is from RNAcentral. Lineage: Eukaryota; Metazoa; Chordata; Mammalia; Rodentia; Muridae.
UCCGGGGCUGCUCUUGGCCAUUUCCCCAAAUGCAGAUUGUCUUGUCCUGCAAGGUUUCUGCUGCCAUCAUCUUCCUGUGGAUGAAUUUCCAAUGAAGCCAGGCAGACGACCUUCCCCUGGCCCCUCCUGCCUCGCUCCACCACUCCACUCCACAUGGGUCUGCUCUGGAGGCCAGCCCACUUGGCUUCUGGCUUAGGAUUGCAUUUAGCCAGUUCAAGGUGGCAGGAGAUGGGACCCAGGGCUUUAUGCAUGCUGGACAAGCGCCUCAGCCCACACCUUUGCGAACCGACCUCCUACGACAUGCUCACCCAGCUUGAUCAACUACAUACCUCAUGUCCUCCUCACACAGAGGGGCAAAGGCCUUCUUCAUUAAAGGAAACAACGCAGGAUCCAUUUUUGACGAUUCUGAGGCCAGAAAUAAUGGAAGGCUCAGGAAGCCUUGAAGUAAACGUACCUGCUCCAUUGUCACUGCGGUUUCUGAUAGCUCCCACAGUUCAGAGUCAGCCUCAUUCCUAUGGAGGCUCAACACUCUCCUCAGGUGAACCUUGCUCUACC